Molecule: long non-coding RNA, 1045 nt
Filed under: Rhipicephalus microplus (southern cattle tick)
Lineage: Eukaryota; Metazoa; Arthropoda; Arachnida; Ixodida; Ixodidae
Description: uncharacterized LOC119176176, transcript variant X2
Source: RNAcentral
UCGGCCAGUCCGUUAGCUAACCAUUGUUACCUGGAACGAUUUUUGAAUAGAGAGACUAAAUUUGGCAAGCGAAGACUUGUCUAUGUACGUUUUGGCCCCGAUGGGCGCGCAGAAGUGGGCGACGUAGAGCAAUGCCGGGCCCCUGCCGACAGCCGGUUAUGAAUGCCGCGUGGCGCCGCUCCGUGAGCCGCGCUCCGCAGCACACGUGCCGAUGCCGAGCGUUCGGCACGUGGAGCCCUUGUCGCUGAGUGAGGGGCGUAGAGGACGAGUUGACACGUGCCGAGGCAGCCCGGAGGAGCCUAAGCUGCGACCGCGCUGAGCGCUGUGCUUGGGCUAUCGUACCCGGCAGUCGUCGUCUGGGUUUUUACUCGCGCGAAAAAGGUUUGCCACUGCGGCUCGGUGCCUCUCUGCAAUUUUCUGUCUGUAACGAACACAUUUUGGAGUCGCUGAUGCACACGCGGAGGUGACGGCCCAGCGAUGGGACAGCAGCCCCCCCCCCCCCCCCCUCAGCUCUGUGGAUUACAUCGACAGCAGAUGACGACGCUGCUUCGCGGCGGAUAAUGUGCGUGAAUGCCAGUGCGCGUGUGUUUGUGUCACAGUGUUUGUUAUGAGUGAGCCGCAGUCCUGCGAGUGAGUGUGAUGCGGUGGCGACUGCUGCCUAUGACUGGUCUGUCGUGUUCGUGCUUCGCGAUGCAAGUGACCUGCUACAAGAAGAGAAUCGUGAAGUGUGCCGUGUGAUCAGUGGUGCACCUUUGAAAUCUUGCCACCUUUUGGAUAUGUGAAUUAGCUGGCCUCGCCUCCCUCUGGAGCGAAGUCAGCUGCAAACAGGUGCUCUGGUAUAAGUUCAGGAGGCAUAAAAUGUAUGGGAAAACUGAAAGUGGGUGCACUAUACGUGGGCCCCUGUGCUGCACAGAGCAGUGCCUUCGGUGGCCGUCGCAGCCGUCGUCCAUCAACGGACGCUCAUGCCGUCGCCACAUUUUCUCACUUUCCCCACAAUUGUCAAAAAAUACAUUCGCCGGUACAGUAAAAGAAAGGUAAGAUGGUC